RNAcentral lists this ribosomal RNA (810 nucleotides) under uncultured bacterium. RNAcentral's name for it is "bacterial SSU rRNA". It matches the Rfam family "Bacterial small subunit ribosomal RNA", at positions 626 to 1437 of the family's 1533-position model. The record is from RNAcentral.
UUNUGAACUGGGUGACUAGAGUGUGUCAGAGGGAGGUAGAAUUCCACGUGUAGCAGUGAAAUGCGUAGAGAUGUGGAGGAAUACCGAUGGCGAAGGCAGCCUCCUGGGAUAACACUGACGUUCAUGCCCGAAAGCGUGGGUAGCAAACAGGAUUAGAUACCCUGGUAGUCCACGCCCUAAACGAUGUCGAUUAGCUGUUGGGCAGCAUGACUGCUUAGUAGCGAAGCUAACGCGUGAAAUCGACCGCCUGGGGAGUACGGUCGCAAGAUUAAAACUCAAAGGAAUUGACGGGGACCCGCACAAGCGGUGGAUGAUGUGGAUUAAUUCGAUGCAACGCGAAGAACCUUACCUGGUCUUGACAUGUACGGAAUCCUCCAGAGACGGAGGAGUGCCUUCGGGAGCCGUAACACAGGUGCUGCAUGGCUGUCGUCAGCUCGUGUCGUGAGAUGUUGGGUUAAGUCCCGCAACGAGCGCAACCCUUGUCAUUAGUUGCCAUCAUUAAGUUGGGCACUCUAAUGGGACUGCCGGUGACAAGCCGGAGGAAGGUGGGGAUGACGUCAAGUCCUCAUGGCCCUUAUGACCAGGGCUUCACACGUCAUACAAUGGUCGGUACAGAGGGUAGCCAAGCCGCGAGGCGGAGCCAAUCUCACAAAACUGAUCGUAGUCCGGAUUGCACUCUGCAACUCGAGUGCAUGAAGUCGGAAUCGCUAGUAAUCGCAGGUCAGCAUACUGCGGUGAAUACGUUCCCGGGUCUUGUACACACCGCCCGUCACACCAUGGGAGUGGGGGAUACCAGAAGUAGGUAGGGUA